Molecule: transfer RNA, 55 nt
Filed under: Philometra sp. HZ-2022
Lineage: Eukaryota; Metazoa; Nematoda; Chromadorea; Rhabditida; Philometridae
Description: tRNA-Leu
Source: RNAcentral
AUCGUUAUAGCAUAUAUUAAUGUGUCUGUUUUAAGGUCAGGAGAAUUAAAUGGUU